This 85-nucleotide transfer RNA is filed under the name Selaginella moellendorffii. It matches the Rfam family "tRNA". From Rfam's summary of the family: Transfer RNA (tRNA) molecules are approximately 80 nucleotides in length. Their secondary structure includes four short double-helical elements and three loops (D, anti-codon, and T loops). Further hydrogen bonds mediate the characteristic L-shaped molecular structure. tRNAs have two regions of fundamental functional importance: the anti-codon, which is responsible for specific mRNA codon recognition, and the 3' end, to which the tRNAs corresponding amino acid is attached (by aminoacyl-tRNA synthetases). tRNAs cope with the degeneracy of the genetic code in two manners: having more than one tRNA (with a specific anti-codon) for a particular amino acid; and 'wobble' base-pairing, i.e. permitting non-standard base-pairing at the 3rd anti-codon position. Lineage: Eukaryota; Viridiplantae; Streptophyta; Lycopodiopsida; Selaginellales; Selaginellaceae. The record is from Rfam by way of RNAcentral.
GUCAGUAUGGCUGAGCGGUCUAAGGCGGCAGACUCAAGUUCUGCUCCUCUCACGAGGGCGCAGGUUCAAAUCCCGUAUACUUGCA